RNAcentral lists this ribosomal RNA (920 nucleotides) under uncultured bacterium. RNAcentral describes it as "bacterial SSU rRNA". It matches the Rfam family "Bacterial small subunit ribosomal RNA", at positions 8 to 937 of the family's 1533-position model. The record is from RNAcentral.
AGAGUUUGAUCAUGGCUCAGGAUGAACGCUAGCGGCAGGCUUAACACAUGCAAGUCGAGGGGUAUAGUUCUUCGGAACUAGAGACCGGCGCACGGGUGCGUAACGCGUAUGCAAUCUACCUUUCACAAAGGGAUAGCCCAGAGAAAUUUGGAUUAAUACCUUAUAGUAUAGCGAGUUCGCAUGGAUUUGCUAUUAAAGAUUUAUCGGUGAAAGAUGAGCAUGCGUCCCAUUAGCUAGUUGGUAAGGUAACGGCUUACCAAGGCUACGAUGGGUAGGGGUCCUGAGAGGGAGAUCCCCCACACUGGUACUGAGACACGGACCAGACUCCUACGGGAGGCAGCAGUGAGGAAUAUUGGUCAAUGGGCGCAAGCCUGAACCAGCCAUGCCGCGUGCAGGAUGACGGUCCUAUGGAUUGUAAACUGCUUUUGUACAGGAAGAAACACCCCGACGUGUCGGGACUUGACGGUACUGUAAGAAUAAGGAUCGGCUAACUCCGUGCCAGCAGCCGCGGUAAUACGGAGGAUCCAAGCGUUAUCCGGAAUCAUUGGGUUUAAAGGGUCCGUAGGCGGCUUAAUAAGUCAGUGGUGAAAUCCCUACGCUUAACGUANGAACGGCCAUUGAUACUGUUAGGCUUGAAUUAUUAGGAAGUAACUAGAAUAUGUAGUGUAGCGGUGAAAUGCUUAGAGAUUACAUGGAAUACCAAUUGCGAAGGCAGGUUACUACUAAUGGAUUGACGCUGAUGGACGAAAGCGUGGGUAGCGAACAGGAUUAGAUACCCUGGUAGUCCACGCCGUAAACGAUGGAUACUAGCUGUUGGAAGCAAUUUCAGUGGCUAAGCGAAAGUGAUAAGUAUCCCACCUGGGGAGUACGUUCGCAGAAUGAAACUCAAAGGAAUUGACGGGNNCGCACAAGCGGUGGAG